Molecule: ribosomal RNA, 269 nt
Filed under: uncultured bacterium
Lineage: Bacteria
Description: partial 16S ribosomal RNA
Rfam family: Bacterial small subunit ribosomal RNA
Source: RNAcentral
GCCUUACGGCCAGGGCUACACACGUGCUACAAUGGCGCGUACAGAGGGCUGCAAGCUAGCGAUAGUGAGCGAAUCCCAAAAAGCGCGUCGUAGUCCGGAUCGGAGUCUGCAACUCGACUCCGUGAAGUCGGAAUCGCUAGUAAUCGCAAAUCAGAAUGUUGCGGUGAAUACGUUCCCGGGCCUUGUACACACCGCCCGUCACACCAUGGGAGUGGGUUGCACCAGAAGUAGAUAGCUUAACCUUCGGGAGGGCGUUUACCACGGUGUGA